This 505-nucleotide ribosomal RNA is filed under the name uncultured bacterium. Its description in RNAcentral is "bacterial SSU rRNA". It matches the Rfam family "Bacterial small subunit ribosomal RNA", at positions 28 to 524 of the family's 1533-position model. The record is from RNAcentral.
GAUGAACGCUAGCGACAGGCUUAACACAUGCAAGUCGAGGGGCAGCAUAAAAGUAGCAAUACUUUGGUGGCGACCGGCGCACGGGUGAGUAACGCGUAUGCAACCUACCUAUCAGAGGGGGAUAACCCGGCGAAAGUCGGACUAAUACCGCAUAAAACAGGGGCACCGCAUGGUGAUAUUUGUUAAAAAUUUAUUGCUGAUAGAUGGGCAUGCGUUCCAUUAGGUAGUUGGAGAGGUAACGGCUCACCAAGCCUACGAUGGAUAGGGGAACUGAGAGGUUGGUCCCCCACACUGGUACUGAGACACGGACCAGACUCCUACGGGAGGCAGCAGUGAGGAAUAUUGGUCAAUGGGCGAGAGCCUGAACCAGCCAAGUCGCGUGAAGGAAGAAGGAUCUAUGGUUCGUAAACUUCUUUUGCAGGGGAAUAAAGUGCAGGACGUGUCCUGUUUUGUAUGUACCCUGAGAAUAAGGAUCGGCUAACUCCGUGCCAGCAGCCGCGGUAAA